UCCCAGACUCCUACGGGAGGCAGCAGUGAGGAAUAUUGGUCAAUGGGCGCGAGCCUGAACCAGCCAAGUCGCGUGAGGGAGGACGGCCCUACGGGUUGUAAACCUCUUUUGCCGGGGAGCAACGGGCGUCACGUGUGGCGUCACUGAGAGUACCCGGAGAAAAAGCAUCGGCUAACUCCGUGCCAGCAGCCGCGGUAAUACGGAGGAUGCGAGCGUUAUCCGGAUUUAUUGGGUUUAAAGGGUGCGUAGGCGGAUUUUUAAGUCAGCGGUAAAAUGUCCGGGCUCAACCCGGGCCGGCCGUUGAAACUGGCGAUCUUGAGUGGAAGAGAAGUAUGCGGAAUGCGUGGUGUAGCGGUGAAAUGCAUAGAUAUCACGCAGAACCCCGAUUGCGAAGGCAGCAUGCCGGCUUCCGACUGACGCUGAAGCACGAAAGCGUGGGGAUCGAACAGGAUUAGAUACCCCAGUAAAA
Molecule: ribosomal RNA, 469 nt
Filed under: uncultured bacterium
Lineage: Bacteria
Description: bacterial SSU rRNA
Rfam family: Bacterial small subunit ribosomal RNA
Source: RNAcentral